ACUUGUUCGCCAGAAUAUUACGGGCGAAAGCCUAAAACUCAAAAGACUUGACGGUGUCCCAAUUCUGCCUAGAGGAGCCUGCUUCAUAAUCGAUAACCCCCGUUCAACCCGACCUUCCCUUGAAACCCACUUCAGCCUAUAUACCGCCGUCCUUUAUACCGCUUACCUUUUGAAAGAUAUACGAGUAAGCCAAAUAGCUUCUAGCUAAAAAGUCAGGUCAAGGUGUAGCUCAUGGGAAGGAGAAAGUGGGCUACAUUUUCUACUUCUAGAACAUACGAAAUGUACUCUGAAAUUAAAGUAAAUGAAGGCGGAUUUAGUAGUAAA
Molecule: ribosomal RNA, 324 nt
Filed under: Kentropyx paulensis
Lineage: Eukaryota; Metazoa; Chordata; Lepidosauria; Squamata; Teiidae
Description: partial 12S ribosomal RNA
Rfam family: Bacterial small subunit ribosomal RNA
Source: RNAcentral